GAUUUUCCGCAGCUUGGGCUUGAAAUGCUGAUACCCGUAGAAUGUAUUCAGUGGUGUGGUCAUGAUGAAAACUCCAGGAUGUUGAUGCUGUGAAAUGUCCGAGGUUGGUGAACAAAAUGGGAUGAACAAAAUAGGAUGGAAUCCACCCUCAAAUUCACAGGUACAACUUUAAAUGAACCCGAAGACUCCCAUCCUCCUCUGAUGCCAAUUAAAUUCAUUUCUUUGACCAAACAAAGGGAGAAACAGGUCUUCUUCCAGACCACAGGGAAGGCAGCUAUCUACUUGUCUCCAAUUAUAUUAAGCAAGGUGUAACCAAAAACAAUGGAAGCCCCAUUUGCAUAUGAAUCAGCAGGGGGAUGGAAAGCCCACAGGAAGGGAAGAACAGCAUGAGGACAUCCUGCAUCUGAGGACAACGCCAUGAAUUUGGGAAGAUAUUAGGAGGAAGAAGAAGCCAUCUUGUCAUCCAUCAGAGGACACACGCAAGGGGCUAAAGCUCUUGCAAGCUAAGAAAGAUGGGCCCUCCAACCAAGGAGGCUGAAGUCUCUGGGGACUGAAUAUAAGUGAUAACCUCCUUAGGCAAAGAUCUUUCACCUAGGAAGACAAGGGAAGCCAGCAUCUUGAACUUCUGUGGAAAGUCCUGACUGAGACAAAGUCAGCAAUGGCUGGAAAGAAAAAGAUCGGUAAGAAUGUUACGUUGAACCAAGACAGUAGUUUUGUUCAGUCUUCGUCACUAGAAAGCGUUUUUCAUUCCUAUUACUUUAUAACCAUUUCUGACUUUUCAGCAAAAGGGGAGUUCAGCUAAUCAAGAGGGUAGCCUCUCACCCCAAUCCCCCCAGGCGCUCUCCCUUGCAAUCAAACAGCUGGACACGGAAUAGACUCUGCUGCUGUCGUGAUGCAUGCACAGUGACAGCAAAGCAACAGACUCCCUAGCACUUGGGCUCCUCCCAUGGCUGCUUAUCUCAGUGUGCGCACCCCAGCACUGGCCCCGGCAGCGUGCCCACGGAGGAGCCUGGAGUCUGUGCCGAAGAGGGACCUGGGCAACUUGUCACUGCA
Long non-coding RNA from Mauremys reevesii (Reeves's turtle), 1053 nucleotides. RefSeq lists it as uncharacterized. The transcript is spliced from 3 exons. The record is from RefSeq and is a predicted model, not a curated record. Lineage: Eukaryota; Metazoa; Chordata; Testudines; Geoemydidae.